AAAUUGAAGAGUUUGAUCAUGGCUCAGAUUGAACGCUGGCGGCAGGCCUAACACAUGCAAGUCGAACGGUAACAGGAAGCAGCUUGCUGCUUCGCUGACGAGUGGCGGACGGGUGAGUAAUGUCUGGGAAACUGCCUGAUGGAGGGGGAUAACUACUGGAAACGGUGGCUAAUACCGCAUAACGUCGCAAGACCAAAGAGGGGGACCUUUGGGCCUCUUGCCAUCAGAUGUGCCCAGAUGGGAUUAGCUUGUUGGUGAGGUAACGGCUCACCAAGGCGACGAUCCCUAGCUGGUCUGAGA
This 300-nucleotide ribosomal RNA is filed under the name Salmonella enterica. Its description in RNAcentral is "partial 16S ribosomal RNA". It matches the Rfam family "Bacterial small subunit ribosomal RNA", at positions 1 to 297 of the family's 1533-position model. The record is from RNAcentral. Lineage: Bacteria; Pseudomonadati; Pseudomonadota; Gammaproteobacteria; Enterobacterales; Enterobacteriaceae.